CUACGGGGCGCAGCAGUGGGGAAUAUUGCACAAUGGGCGCAAGCCUGAUGCAGCCAUGCCGCGUGUAUGAAGAAGGCCUUCGGGUUGUAAAGUACUUUCAGCGGGGAGGAAGGGAGUAAAGUUAAUACCUUUGCUCAUUGACGUUACCCGCAGAAGAAGCACCGGCGAACUCCGUGCCAGCAGCCGCGGUAAUACGGAGGGUGCAAGCGUUAAUCGGAAUUACUGGGCGUAAAGCGCACGCAGGCGGUUUGUUAAGUCAGAUGUGAAAUCCCCGGGCUCAACCUGGGAACUGCAUCUGAACUGGCAAGCUUGGGUCUCGUAGAGGGGGGUAGAAUUCCAGGUGUAGCGGUGAAAUGCGUAGAGAUCUGGAGGAAUACCGGUGGCGAAGGCGGCCCCCUGGACGAAGACUGACGCUCAGGUGCGAAAGCGUGGGGAGCAAACAGGAUUAGAUACCCUCGUAGUC
Molecule: ribosomal RNA, 463 nt
Filed under: uncultured bacterium
Lineage: Bacteria
Description: partial 16S ribosomal RNA
Rfam family: Bacterial small subunit ribosomal RNA
Source: RNAcentral